RNAcentral lists this microRNA precursor (131 nucleotides) under Gossypium arboreum. RNAcentral's name for it is "MIR7502 microRNA precursor family". It matches the Rfam family "MIR7502 microRNA precursor family". Lineage: Eukaryota; Viridiplantae; Streptophyta; Magnoliopsida; Malvales; Malvaceae. The record is from Rfam by way of RNAcentral.
UGUUAAACAUUUCAUUCAUUUCUACCGUUAAAAGUUAGUGACUGAUAAAAUAACCAGAAAGUUACAUGUGUACCUUAUUCUAAUGUACGAAGAUUAAUUUUUAACAAUAAAAAUAGAUAAAAUUUUUAAUA